Molecule: long non-coding RNA, 1088 nt
Organism: Alnus glutinosa
Lineage: Eukaryota; Viridiplantae; Streptophyta; Magnoliopsida; Fagales; Betulaceae
Exons: 2
Source: RefSeq, a predicted model, not a curated record
GGCAUCAUCAUGAUGUUGGCUUUUUAUUUUAUUACCCCUUCAUUAUUUUAUUAUCUCCUUCUUCCUCCUUAUAUUCCUUCUUCACUUACUCGAAAAUGGACGGAAGCAGAGUAAUAGAACCUAGCAGUAGCUGGCACAAAUCCAUGUUGCAGUUCCAUGAACCCGGAAGCCAUAUCCGGUGUGCUGACCCGGAAUCACCAGGAAUCCGGAUCUUUAGCCAAAACCCAGCUCAUGCAACCCGUACUUUGAUCGGCAGCAACCUGAAGCUCAGCAAACCCGGAACCCAUGAACCUGCAAUUCAGGCCUAGAACCCGCCGGCAACCGAGACCCGUAGCAGAUCCGGCAUGAGCCCAGCCCGAUCAUGACCCAGUAGCAAAAAUCCGACGAAGCCGAGUCUUCUGUUCUUCCAGAUCUGAUCAAAUCAGUGACACCGUGACCCCGUAAAUCCCGAAGACCACCAAUGAAGACGAAACCAAGCUAAACCCAAACUGAAGCCUACCGAUCGUGAAACCCGAACCUUUUCUGUCAAAUGACCCGUGCAACCAAAGUGUGCAGUUUGACCCGUAGCCUGGAACCCUUGAGCCCAUAAACCUCGGCCCAACCCCGAGACCACUGAAGCCCAUAAUCCGAAACCCUUAAGCCCGAGACCCAUAAGCCCAGUAGCAAGCCCAAGACCGAGACUCAAGCCCUUGACCCGAGACCCAUCGGCCCGAGACCCUAACCAAUGAGCCCGACCCAUGACCCGAACCCGGUACCCGACCCGGAACCCUGACCCGCCGGCGACUUUUCCGGCCACUUUCCGGUGACUUUUCCGGCUAUUUUUCCAGCGACCAAACUCACCGUUUCGCUGGAUUUUCGAGUGAAAAUCCUUAAUCCAAUUAUGCAGGUACGAAAGAUUAAAGCUCAAGAGAUGUUAUAGCUAUGGAUGCAUAGUUUAUAUUCUUCAGUGUUAUUAGCAUUUUAUGUUGACAAAUUUACUAGUGAUUUUAUAUGUAUGCUUUCGUGUCAUUAUGGACACCUAUUUCCUUGUAUUUGUUACAAGUAUUUUUCUAAUGAAAAUCUAGAGGUAUUUAAUUUAAAGGCUCUAA